UACGUAGGGGGCAAGCGUUGUCCGGAAUCAUUGGGCGUAAAGCGCGCGUAGGCGGCCCGGUAAGUCCGUUGUGAAAGUCAAAGGCUCAACCUUUGAAUGCCGACGGAUACUGCCGGGCUAGAGUCCGGAAGAGGCGAGUGGAAUUCCUGGUGUAGCGGUGGAAUGCGCAGAUAUCAGGAGGAACACCUAUAGCGAAGGCAGCUCGCUUGGACGGUACUGACGCUGAGGCGCGAAAGCGUGGGGAGCGAACAGG
This 253-nucleotide ribosomal RNA is filed under the name uncultured bacterium. RNAcentral describes it as "partial 16S ribosomal RNA". It matches the Rfam family "Bacterial small subunit ribosomal RNA", at positions 524 to 776 of the family's 1533-position model. The record is from RNAcentral.